RNAcentral lists this long non-coding RNA (611 nucleotides) under Homo sapiens (human). RNAcentral describes it as "HSALNT0270628". Lineage: Eukaryota; Metazoa; Chordata; Mammalia; Primates; Hominidae. The record is from RNAcentral.
CCAGCUUGGGGCUGGCAGUGGAUCAGUGGGUGCCUGUCAGCAUUGGCUGGGAGGUGUGGCCUAGGAGGCCAGGGUGUGUGCUGGGGGCAGGGUUCCAGGUAGAACAAGGAGAGAAGAGAGUUGAGGCCAGGACUUGAACUGACAGCACUGAGAGACUGGGGUGAGUUGGGAGGUCACACAGAGGGGAAGGUCAUGGCCAGGAGGCUGGGAAGUGCCGGGAGAGGGGAAGCGGGAGGGAGAAGGCAGGGCCACCUCAGCUACUCAGAGGGAACAGAGGGGCAGCCCCCUGCCAGGGAAGGGAAGGGCUGGGCUGGGCUGGGCUGGACUGAAGGCUGCCUCUUCCUGGAGACAGUGGGGUGACUGGGGUUGCAAAGAUGCUGCUGUCUGGGAUGGAGGCAACCCUCCUAGCUCUGUCCACACCCUUGUGAAACAGUCUCUCUCCAGCCCUGUGUGGCCCUCAGGCUGUGCAUGGCACAAGCAUGUCCUGGUCCCCAGCCCUUGGGCCUGGCUCUGGGCUUUCAGGAAGAGCCUUCUUGGGGACAUGCUUGGUCUCUCUGGCCAGGACAGGCAGGAGGGUGGGCCCCAGAGAGGCCCCAGAGGUGGCCUUUGUG